CAUAUAUUCAAUAUUUGUAGGAAGUCAGACGGAUAUCCAUCCCUUGGGAGCUGGCUCAGUUCUGACUUUCUGCUGUCUGGAGGGAAAUGCAAUUGUAUGUGGUGUCAAAAGUCGCACAGCAAUCCAUCAAUUUAACAGCCAUGGAAAAUCAAGAGAUGCGAGCACAAAGCGCAAAGCAGCCAAAUCGUAAAAUAAAUUGUAGAAAAUAUAUCAAGCAAAGGACAUUAGGGACACAGUCGUUGCCCUGGGGUGGGUACACUCUGCAGGCAUCAAAUGAUUUCUUGCCUUGCCACAUUUCUAUUCUUUAGCAGCGACAAUGAAACACAAAACUCGUGUUGCAAUUGAAAACACGGGACGUGUAGCCAGGGCUCUUUGUGGCGUGUUUGCGCAAUGUUAACAUCGCUGUGCAAACUUUAAGUUGAACAGACGUGCAGAGACGACGGUCCAGCAGCUGCCGAGAAGUCAACAUGCUGCGCCCCAAUCUCUAAGCACAACGCGUGCCAUAUGUCAAACUAACUAAGAU
Drosophila navojoa is the source of this 523-nucleotide long non-coding RNA. The record is from RefSeq and is a predicted model, not a curated record. Lineage: Eukaryota; Metazoa; Arthropoda; Insecta; Diptera; Drosophilidae.